Molecule: long non-coding RNA, 468 nt
Filed under: Elaeis guineensis (African oil palm)
Lineage: Eukaryota; Viridiplantae; Streptophyta; Magnoliopsida; Arecales; Arecaceae
Description: long non-coding RNA (EGUI_LNC075360)
Source: RNAcentral
CGGUUACCCUUCUUAUUGCGGUUGGUCAAGUUCUUCUUAGGUAUAGGUCCACCUUCCUUUCCCUUCCCUUUCCUGUUCUAGUACCUUUUGCGCUUGGAGCCUGAAGCCCUUUGGGAGCUUGACUCGGCCAUAAAGGCCUGCCCACGAAGCCUCGCCGCUACAAGACGCUCGUCUUCAAGUUUCACAUGACGGGCAACAUCAGUGAAGGUCUUGAUGCUUUCAUUAUGGGUCAAAUUAACCUUCAUAUGCUCCCUAUUAUCAGGAAGAGAACGGAUCACAGCUUGCCCUUGCUGCUCAUCGGAGAAAAAAUGGCCAGCUGAUUUCAACUCAGUAAUCAUGUUUGAUAUCUCCCUUAGGUGUUGCUGAAUUGUAUGAUUGGGGUGCUUCUUGUAAGUGUCAAACUUGAUUGUCAGCUAUCUCAGUUUGGUCACCGAUGUGCGUCCAAACUUUUUCUUCAAAGCAUUCCAU